This 506-nucleotide ribosomal RNA is filed under the name uncultured bacterium. RNAcentral's name for it is "partial 16S ribosomal RNA". It matches the Rfam family "Bacterial small subunit ribosomal RNA", at positions 30 to 523 of the family's 1533-position model. The record is from RNAcentral.
AUUGAACGCUGGCGGCAGGCCUAACACAUGCAAGUCGAGCGGCAGCGGGAAGUAGCUUGCUACUUUGCCGGCGAGCGGCGGACGGGUGAGUAAUGUCUGGGAAACUGCCUGAUGGAGGGGGAUAACUACUGGAAACGGUAGCUAAUACCGCAUAACGUCGCAAGACCAAAGAGGGGGACCUUCGGGCCUCUUGCCAUCAGAUGUGCCCAGAUGGGAUUAGCUGGCAGGUAGGGUAAUGGCCUACCUGGGCGACGAUCCCUAGCGGGUCUGAGAGGAUGACCAGCCACACUGGAACUGAGACACGGUCCAGACUCCUACGGGAGGCAGCAGUGGGGAAUAUUGCACAAUGGGCGCAAGCCUGAUGCAGCCAUGCCGCGUGUGUGAAGAAGGCCUUCGGGUUGUAAAGCUCUUUCGCAAGGGAAGAAAACUUAGCCACUAACAUUGGUUGAGGUUGACGGUACCUUGAUAAGAAGCACCGGCUAACUACGUGCCAGCCGCCGCAGUAA